CCUACGGGUGGCUGCAGUCGAGAAUUUUUCACAAUGGGCGCAAGCCUGAUGGAGCGACGCCGCGUGGGGGAUGAAUGGCUUCGGCCCGUAAACCCCUGUCAUUCGGGAGCAAAACGUCUGGCCUAAUACGUCCGACGUUGAUAGUACCGGAAGAGGAAGGGACGGCUAACUCUGUGCCAGCAGCCGCGGUAAUACAGAGGUCCCAAGCGUUGUUCGGAUUUACUGGGCGUAAAGGGUGCGUAGGCGGCUGGGCAAGUCUGGUGUGAAAGCUCGAAGCUUAACUUCGAAAUGGCACUGGAUACUGCCUGGCUGGAGGUUGGGAGGGGGGACUGGAAUUCUCGGUGUAGCAGUGAAAUGCGUAGAUAUCGAGAGGAACACCAGUGGCGAAGGCGAGUCCCUGGACCAAUCCUGACGCUGAGGCACGAAAGCCAGGGGAGCAAACGGGAUUAGAUACCCGAGUAGUC
This 464-nucleotide ribosomal RNA is filed under the name uncultured bacterium. Its description in RNAcentral is "bacterial SSU rRNA". It matches the Rfam family "Bacterial small subunit ribosomal RNA", at positions 338 to 795 of the family's 1533-position model. The record is from RNAcentral.